This 1533-nucleotide long non-coding RNA is filed under the name Equus caballus (horse). RNAcentral's name for it is "lncRNA (ENSECAG00000057993.1)". The record is from RNAcentral. Lineage: Eukaryota; Metazoa; Chordata; Mammalia; Perissodactyla; Equidae.
CUGUGAUCCUGGAAACCCACAGUGCUCACGCUGACCGCUCUCUCUCCCUGCUGCUUGGGGCCCUGGCUGUGCCUCCAGAUAAAUCGUGGUGACUGCUCAGAGAGCCACAUCAAGCUCCCCGCCAUUCUGCUUUCAGUACGGCACACUGCAUCGUGCUCCACUCUGACCAGCAAGCUCCUACACUGGGCCACCAAGUAACCUGCAUAAACACGCCAGGCAGCUCUGCUCCUACGCCAUUGCAAAGACACAGCUCCUCUGUGAAGCCAUCCCUGACUUUGUCAGGCUGACUUAGGCCAUAUCUUUCUCUAGGCUCACCGUGAACACUAUGGUAAAAGCACUGAGAACUUUUUGGAGAAUCUAGCAAACAAGCACUACUGGGCCUCUUCCCUUCACUCAAGAAUCACUCUCCGGCAAUCUUCAGAGGCAGCAUAAGAAGAGGUGACUGAGAACGAGGUCCAGCCUGCGUCUGACUUCCUCCCCCACUCGCCGCAUUAUUAGUGAUCUGUCUGGAGAGCUGGCUGAAGGCUCAGAGCCUGGGUGUGGUUCCUUGGAGUCAGGCAAGGGACAGAAGUCCUUACUAGAGAUGGGAGAGAGAAACUGAGCUGGAGGACAGAGCCAAACCCAAAACUGGGCUAGAGAGGUGAGGUGCAAAACUCAUGGAGAAGUCAGGUGGAAAACAAUUUGGAGGAGCCCAGGGAAGAGGAUUUCUAGAGGGGACUCGUCUCUGAGCGCUCACCCUUUGGGAACAGCGGGGAAGGAGGAGGGACUCACAGGCCACACCUGUCAACCAGACAGAGUUGCCUUUUCCAGCGCAGGUCAGCCUCUUAUCUCUCCAUUCCUCUGGACCUGGCCAGUUGUACCUGACCCCACCUCCACUCUCCAUAGGGAAAGCCCCCUUGUUGGGGCCUCCCUGCCAUUGUCCAGCUUCAGGCCUGCAAAAGCCCCAAGUUCUAACAGAGAGCUGGGAGGCCCCAGCCCACAUGUCAUCAUAAGCCUGACCACAGAGUGCUAAGUGAAACCAACACUUAGCUCCCCAUUUGACUUGUAUGGAUUGUUCGAUGGAUUAGAACGCAGAGGGGAGGAGGGAGGAACUAUGGGCUUCUCCGACCUCAGACAGAAAGUCUCAUGGGACAAACCUAAUCAACCAAAUGCACUCCACUUGAAGAAAGACUGAAAAGGAAGUGAACCAUCAGUCUAAAACUACCUUCAGCCUUUAUAAAUCCUGCGGAGAAUGUGUUAAAAAUGCAGAUUCCAGGGCCUCUCCCUCCAGAUUUUGAUUCUGGAAAGUCUGGGAUGAGACCCGGGAAUGUGAAUAUUUAAGUUCCCCAAGGAAUUUGGAUGCAGGUAAUUUUCAGACCAGACUUUGAGAAACAGUGGCCUGGACAAUAAAAGGGAGAGAUUUAAACGUUUGAAGUUGCUGGGGUCACCUAAGCACCAUGCAAGGGGCAGUCAGGCUGUACCAGCUGCACCCUUGUGGUGAAUUAAGCAGCAAAACUCCCCUUGUUCUAGCUGUGGGCUCAUCCACAAUCUUCU